Long non-coding RNA from Eriocheir sinensis (Chinese mitten crab), 1212 nucleotides. RefSeq lists it as uncharacterized. The record is from RefSeq and is a predicted model, not a curated record. Lineage: Eukaryota; Metazoa; Arthropoda; Malacostraca; Decapoda; Varunidae. The transcript is spliced from 5 exons.
CAGCAUCCUGCAGCAGCUGUGUGUCCACCUCGUCCACCGGCAGCUGCACAUAGCGCACCACGGAUCCACGGAUGAAACAGUUCUUCACUGACAGCUGUGGGUGAGACACGGGUGCUCAAGUGAAAAGACUUCACUAUAUACAGAGCCACUGCCACUCACCAUGUGUGGGUAUUUCUCGGUGUCCGUCACGUUGAUGUCCGUCAGCUUGAUGUUGAGGUACUGGUCGACGGAGUGAAGUGUGCCACAUAUGCUGGAAAAUAUUCAAAGAUGCGAUGUUCGAGCGUAGCGCAGUUCACAACACAUGGCGGUCUCCUAUUGGUUGGCUGACUCGCCUCCUCCACCAAGGCCCUCUACCCUCUCUCACACCCUCCCACACCACCAUGGACACCUGCACCACCUCCUCACAGCUCACAGGAGGUGUGCAAUGCAUGGCUGCCGGUAGGGUCCUGUGUUGAAGUGCUGCUGUUGGUUGACAACUUUCACCUGUCUGUGAGACUGAAGAUGAACCACACACUACUAACCUAACCUUCAGAGGCUGCUCUCCAGGGGAAGCACAAGGAGGAAGAUAAAAUUCAGCAUCCCAGUGAAUAAUGGAGUGAGUGACCGCCACUGCCUUGAAUACUUUACUGGUGCACUGGUCGGCAUAUGCACGAAAAAGCAAGAACAGAAACUUGGCCAUACCAUUUUUUUCUGUAGCCAAGACCUUGAAUUUCAGAAGCACCACUUGUUGUGUUUCCAGUGCUUGAUGAGUCUCCUUUACCUUUCUUUUGAGGAGAGCUCCCUGAGGAUGUAGUCAGGUGCUUCUUCCUGUGUGCAUAGUAAGUGUGUCUGUAUGCUGUGGCGUAUCCACACACCUCACAACGGAAGGGCUUCUCACCUAAAAAGAGACAAACAAUUAGUGGUAUAUUUCCUGAAAGAUUUGGAUCAAUUAGAGUUACUUCUUGUUGGCUGAUCAGCGCUCCCUAAAACACAGUUCUAUAUCAUGCUCAAACUUUGCUCACAGCUUCCUCUGCCUGUAAAAAAGUUUCAAAAAUUCUAGUUCCAUGUCAUUUUGGAUCUUUUUUAGGAUCACAAAAUGAAUACCACAUCUGUUGCAUCAGUGCCCAAAUAAUUUUUACAUUUUAACUAUCCACUCUUCCACAACUGAAAUAAUUGCUGCUCUGAAAAGCUUCCCCAGGGUCAAUAAAAUUUUCAAUGUAGCAUCAGAGAGCU